RNAcentral lists this ribosomal RNA (253 nucleotides) under uncultured bacterium. RNAcentral describes it as "partial 16S ribosomal RNA". It matches the Rfam family "Bacterial small subunit ribosomal RNA", at positions 524 to 776 of the family's 1533-position model. The record is from RNAcentral.
UACGUAGGUGGCAAGCGUUGUCCGGAAUUAUUGGGCGUAAAGCGCGCGCAGGUGGUUUCUUAAGUCUGAUGUGAAAGCCCACGGCUCAACCGUGGAGGGUCAUUGGAAACUGGGGAACUUGAGUGCAGGAGAGAAGAGUGGAAUUCCACGUGUAGCGGUGAAAUGCGUAGAGAUGUGGAAGAACACCAGUGGCGAAGGCGGCUAUCUGGACGGUUUCUGACGCUAAGACGCGAAAGCGUGGGGAGCAAACAGG